GAUGAACGCUGGCGGCGUGCCUAAUACAUGCAAGUCGAGCGAACAGACGAGGAGCUUGCUCCUCUGACGUUAGCGUCGUACGGGUGAGUAACACGUUGAUAACCUACCUAUAAGACUGGGAUAACUUCGGGAAACCGGAGCUAAUACCGGAUAAUAUAUUGAACCGCAUGGUUCAAUAGUGAAAGACGGUUUUGCUGUCACUUAUAGAUGGAUCCGCGCCGCAUUAGCUAGUUGGUAAGGUAACGGCUUACCAAGGCAACGAUGCGUAGCCGACCUGAGAGGGUGAUCGGCCACACUGGAACUGAGACACGGUCCAGACUCCUACGGGAGGCAGCAGUAGGGAAUCUUCCGCAAUGGGCGAAAGCCUGACGGAGCAACGCCGCGUGAGUGAUGAAGGUCUUCGGAUCGUAAAACUCUGUUAUUAGGGAAGAACAAAUGUGUAAGUAACUAUGCACGUCUUGACGGUACCUAAGCAGAAAGCCACGGCUAACUACGUG
This 497-nucleotide ribosomal RNA is filed under the name uncultured bacterium. RNAcentral describes it as "partial 16S ribosomal RNA". It matches the Rfam family "Bacterial small subunit ribosomal RNA", at positions 28 to 507 of the family's 1533-position model. The record is from RNAcentral.